AACGAACGCUGGCGGCGUGCUUAACACAUGCAAGUCGAACGGAAAGGCCCUGCUUUUGUGGGGUGCUCGAGUGGCGAAAGGGUGAGUAACACGUGAGUAACCUGCCCUUGACUUUGGGAUAACUUCAGGAAACUGGGGCUAAUACCGGAUAGGAGCUCCUGCUGCAUGGUGGGGGUUGGAAAGUUUCGGCGGUUGGGGAUGGACUCGCGGCUUAUCAGCUUGUUGGUGGGGUAGUGGCUUACCAAGGCUUUGACGGGUAGCCGGCCUGAGAGGGUGACCGGCCACAUUGGGACUGAGAUACGGCCCAGACUCCUACGGGAGGCAGCAGUGGGGAAUAUUGCACAAUGGGCGGAAGCCUGAUGCAGCAACGCCGCGUGCGGGAUGACGGCCUUCGGGUUGUAAACCGCUUUCGCCUGUGACGAAGCGUGAGUGACGGUAAUGGGUAAAGAAGCACCGGCUAACUACGUG
Molecule: ribosomal RNA, 468 nt
Filed under: uncultured bacterium
Lineage: Bacteria
Description: partial 16S ribosomal RNA
Rfam family: Bacterial small subunit ribosomal RNA
Source: RNAcentral